Panicum virgatum (switchgrass) is the source of this 2073-nucleotide long non-coding RNA. RefSeq lists it as uncharacterized. The record is from RefSeq and is a predicted model, not a curated record. NCBI's taxonomy places the organism in Eukaryota, Viridiplantae, Streptophyta, Magnoliopsida, Poales, Poaceae. The transcript has 8 exons.
CUGCAGAUCAAGACUCCAGACAGCUUUAGGCCAAUCCCUGCUGCCACAAUACAGUUUUUUCUCAGCACAUAAUAAGAGUGCAUUUUGUUCUUCCCUUCGGUAAAGUGCUUGAUGGAACUUCUCAGACUUGAAGAAAAGGGGGCAGGACUGCAAGCAAGGGGAGCAAAAUUGAACACGACCGCGAGGAGGCAAAAAUUACGACUUUUGUAAUUGGCGAUUUGGUCAGUAGGAAUCGAGGAUGAUAAUACUGCUGCUCCCUAUCCUGAACCACUGUCGGACCAAUUGGAUAAAUCCAAUGUUUUGGGAAGGUCUUCAGUUAUUCGAGUUUCCAGACCGCAAUGCGGGAUUUGAAGUGCCUGACACAUUUCCACCAUCACAUUUCGAUUCUGCAUCAGUAUCCAUCAAGAGUGGAAAUUUUUUUCUAUUUGGCUGGCUCCAAAGUAGCUGAACGAUGUGGUGCAGUAUGCCCUUGCGUUAUUCCUCACCUCAUGGAUUCAAGCAUGUCAUUCAGUCAAGAUACAAAAUUGGUAAAAGAGAGCCAUAAACAUUCAAGAAGUAAGUCAAGCAAAUAUCUGCAAAAAUUAUAGGAUCUAGGAUGUUUCGCUGGGGAAGGUACUUUCGAUGUAGGAUAAAUAGUUGUAUACACAAGUAAUAGUGAAGGUAAGCUCAACCGACUUUGUAGGCAUCUGACAUUUCUAAUGGACUAUCGACUAAAUGUCGGGAUCCAUUAAAAUGCCACCAUCUCUGAAACUUUUAAUACAUAUAUGCAACAAUGAUAACAGGACUGUCAAAAUAAUAUUUGGUGGGUGCAACUGUAACUUUCUAGUAUGUAUUAGUUGCUGGUGCUAUCAGUCCUCUGGUGUUUAAUGUCAAUGUGCAAUCUGAAUUUUCAGAAUGUGUCCUUCAGUCUAAAUCUUCAGACCUGUUUAUUUUGGCUUUGACAAACGAAUAUGAUAUUAUAGUCUAACUUGUCCAAUGUUCCAGAAGGACUUUGUGGGAGAUGCAAUCAAUACCAUGAGCCUCAAGGAUCGUAAGAAGCUAGAGGGCAAGCUCGAGAAAGGUGGCCUUUCAUGUUUCCCCUUGCACACACAAAGUGAAAUUUCCUAAUGCUGAUUUUGAACCCCACAAAUAGAUGGGUACAGUUAAACACUCAAGCAGAAGAUUAAAAGAAAUAGUUGAACUCCAAAAAAUUUAAUCUUACAUUUCAUUCUUUGUAGAAACGGAGGGAGUACCCUUCUCUGUUAAUCUAACCAAUAAAAGGGUUUGUUUCGAAUUUGUAGUAGAUUUUUCUAGAUGAACAUGCUGCAUGCUUCUCCGUUAGAAGAAUUGCAUUAUUGUAUUUGGGUACUUGGGUACUAUUGAGUCACAACUAGAAAGCUUAAUCCUUGUUCUUCUGUGUUCAAUGUGGCCGAACUUUGAAAGUGAUUACAGGUCUGGUUUGGUUCUUCUGAAUGUCAUUGUCGCACAGGAUAUAUGCACCUGUCUAUGACCAAUGUGUUUCUAUCAGCAAUGUCAGUAAAACGUAAAGUAUUUUUAGGAGUAUGGUGUUAUCUACCUACAGCACUAACUGUUAUGUUGCUCUAAUUGUCCCAAAUACAUGGAUCUGUAUAUCUAUUCUAAAGUAGGAGAUGGCGUAGAGGUGAAACUGAACAAAGGAAGCACACAUGUUUGACUAUCCCUUCCCAUGGGUUUUUUAUGGCACAUAGAGCUUACAUUAUAAAGUUGCAGUAAUAUGAAUAAAAGAUGUUUGAGGUGUGAAAAGCAGCCUUUCAUGGUGAGAAGCUAAUUAUCCCUAUGAUGUCUGGCUCUUAUGCUUGGCAAGAUUUCAAGCAUCAAUUGUGCUGCCAUUGCGUACAAGUGGGCUAACAGAGAAGAUUUUGGUGUACCCAGAGGCUGAGUGAGAAACAUGGAUGGAUCUUGCUACAUUUUUAGACCAUAUUUUAAAUUCUGGUGUUGCAUCGAAUUAGACCAUAUUUUAAAUUCCUGUACCAAUCAAUAAUUAAUAAUGAAUUAAGACAAGUUCAUACGGUGGCUCUGAAUAUAAUAUUUUUGUUAAAUUAUUAUUUUUAUUUU